RNAcentral lists this transfer RNA (76 nucleotides) under Stenotrophobium rhamnosiphilum. RNAcentral describes it as "Sinobacteraceae bacterium GT1R17 tRNA-Ala". It matches the Rfam family "tRNA". From Rfam's summary of the family: Transfer RNA (tRNA) molecules are approximately 80 nucleotides in length. Their secondary structure includes four short double-helical elements and three loops (D, anti-codon, and T loops). Further hydrogen bonds mediate the characteristic L-shaped molecular structure. tRNAs have two regions of fundamental functional importance: the anti-codon, which is responsible for specific mRNA codon recognition, and the 3' end, to which the tRNAs corresponding amino acid is attached (by aminoacyl-tRNA synthetases). tRNAs cope with the degeneracy of the genetic code in two manners: having more than one tRNA (with a specific anti-codon) for a particular amino acid; and 'wobble' base-pairing, i.e. permitting non-standard base-pairing at the 3rd anti-codon position. Lineage: Bacteria; Pseudomonadati; Pseudomonadota; Gammaproteobacteria; Nevskiales; Nevskiaceae. The record is from RNAcentral.
GGGGCGAUAGCUCAACUGGGAGAGCGCGUCGUUUGCAAUGCAGAGGUCGGGAGUUCGAUCCACCUUCGCUCCACCA